GGGGAUUUAGCUCAGUGGCCUAAGCGCCUGCCUUGCAAGCAGGUAAUCAUGGGUUCGAUCCCCGGUACCG
Molecule: non-coding RNA, 70 nt
Organism: Cavia porcellus (domestic guinea pig)
Lineage: Eukaryota; Metazoa; Chordata; Mammalia; Rodentia; Caviidae
Source: Rfam